AGGACGAACGCUGGCGGCGUGCUUAACACAUGCAAGUGGAGCGACGAACCAGGGCUUGCCCUGGGGCAGAGCCGCGAACGGGUGAGUAACACGUGGGUUACCUGCCUUGAUGACCGGGACAACCCGAGGAAACUCGGGCUAAUACCGGAUGUGCCCGCAAGGGGAAAGGAAGCUUCGGCCUCCGCAUCAAGAUGGGCCCGCGGCCCAUUAGCUUGUUGGUGAGGUAACGGCUCACCAAGGCUUCGAUGGGUAGCUGGUCUGAGAGGACGAUCAGCCACACUGGGACUGAGACACGGCCCAGACUCCUACGGGAGGCAGCAGUGGGGAAUCUUGCGCAAUGCGCGAAAGCGUGACGCAGCAACGCCGCGUGGGGGAAGAAGGCUUUCGGGUUGUAAACCCCUUUCAGUUGGGACGAAGCUUCUCCGGUGAAUAGCCGGACGGAGUGACGGUACCUUCACAAGAAGCACCGGCUAACUACGUGCCAGCAGCCGC
RNAcentral lists this ribosomal RNA (492 nucleotides) under uncultured bacterium. RNAcentral describes it as "SSU rRNA". It matches the Rfam family "Bacterial small subunit ribosomal RNA", at positions 26 to 518 of the family's 1533-position model. The record is from RNAcentral.